UACGGGAGGCAACAGUGAGGAAUAUUGGUCAAUGGACGAGAGUCUGAACCAGCCAAGUAGCGUGAAGGAUGAAGGUCCUACGGAUUGUAAACUUCUUUUAUAAGGGAAUAAAACCUCCCACGUGUGGGAGCUUGUAUGUACCUUAUGAAUAAGCAUCGGCUAACUCCGUGCCAGCAGCCGCGGUAAUACGGAGGAUGCGAGCGUUAUCCGGAUUUAUUGGGUUUAAAGGGAGCGCAGACGGGUCGUUAAGUCAGCUGUGAAAGUUUGGGGCUCAACCUUAAAAUUGCAGUUGAUACUGGCGUCCUUGAGUGCGGUUGAGGUGUGCGGAAUUCGUGGUGUAGCGGUGAAAUGCUUAGAUAUCACGAAGAACUCCGAUUGCGAAGGCAGCACACUAAGCCGUAACUGACGUCCAUGCUCGAAAGUGUGGGUAUCAAACAGGAUUAGAUACCCUGGUAGUCCACACGGUAAACGAUGGAUACUCGCUGUUGGCGAUAUACAGUCAGCG
Molecule: ribosomal RNA, 505 nt
Filed under: uncultured bacterium
Lineage: Bacteria
Description: bacterial SSU rRNA
Rfam family: Bacterial small subunit ribosomal RNA
Source: RNAcentral